RNAcentral lists this ribosomal RNA (587 nucleotides) under Candida dubliniensis. RNAcentral's name for it is "eukaryotic LSU rRNA". It matches the Rfam family "Eukaryotic large subunit ribosomal RNA", at positions 68 to 671 of the family's 3401-position model. The record is from RNAcentral. Lineage: Eukaryota; Fungi; Ascomycota; Pichiomycetes; Serinales; Debaryomycetaceae.
CCAAUGGUGUGCUCAGUAGCGGCGAGUGAGCGGCAAAAGCUCAAAUUUGAAAUCUGGCGUCUUUGGCGUCCGAGUUGUAAUUUGAAGAAGGUAUCUUUGGGCCCGGCUCUUGUCUAUGUUCCUUGGAACAGGACGUCACAGAGGGUGAGAAUCCCGUGCGAUGAGAUGGCCCGGGUCUAUGUAAAGUUCCUUCGACGAGUCGAGUUGUUUGGGAAUGCAGCUCUAAGUGGGUGGUAAAUUCCAUCUAAAGCUAAAUAUUGGCGAGAGACCGAUAGCGAACAAGUACAGUGAUGGAAAGAUGAAAAGAACUUUGAAAAGAGAGUGAAAAAGUACGUGAAAUUGUUGAAAGGGAAGGGCUUGAGAUCAGACUUGGUAUUUUGCAAGUUACUCUUUCGGGGGUGGCCUCUGCGGUUUACCGGGCCAGCAUCGGUUUGGAGCGGUAGGAUAAUGGCGGGGGAAUGUGGCACGACUUUGGUUGUGUGUUAUAGCCUCUGACGAUACUGCCAGCCUAGACCGAGGACUGCGGUUUUUACCUAGGAUGUUGGCAUAAUGAUCUUAAGUCGCCCGUCUUGAAACCGGGACCAAGU